Molecule: non-coding RNA, 107 nt
Organism: Paramuricea clavata
Lineage: Eukaryota; Metazoa; Cnidaria; Anthozoa; Malacalcyonacea; Plexauridae
Source: the annotation of a GenBank genome assembly
ACCUAUCUUUACUUGCGCCAAUUCUAGUAGCUACUGCGCGAAUUUUAAUACAUGUAUUAAAAUUCGCGCAGUAGCUACUAGAAUUGGCGCAAGUAAAGAUAAAGCGU